Molecule: ribosomal RNA, 819 nt
Filed under: Triticum aestivum (bread wheat)
Lineage: Eukaryota; Viridiplantae; Streptophyta; Magnoliopsida; Poales; Poaceae
Description: partial small subunit ribosomal RNA
Source: RNAcentral
AUGGACGCAACAGAAGCUUGCCCUGGUGCUGGCCUGCCACGACCAUCCGAGUUUGACUUCAUGUUCACCGACGAGGGGUGGGCCUUGCUGUCCGAGGAGACACGCCGUUCAAUUAUAGGAGUUCUGGAUGAGGACAGAGAAGAGAAGACCCGCCUCCAAGAGCGCCGUCAAUCCCGAUCCCGGAAGGACCGCCGCAAGGAUCCUCGGCCAGACAAACAGAUACAACCUAGUAAGAGCCUCGACCCUAACCUGUCGAGGGAUAAUGGUGGUUAUCUAAGUCUGAGCUACCCUGCACGGGGCAUAUCUGCAAUGGGCUGCCUGAUUGAAAUUGAUAUAAAGAUCAAGGGCAAGGAUGUUGACAAAGAUUUGUCGAUUAUUGAUGGAUCUGUGAAAGCCUUUGGGCAGUUUGACUCGAGGACUGCUAACCAUGUUGAUAACGUCAAUGGUAAAAUUAUAUUCAAGACAUAUGUUGUUCGUAAAGGUGUCGAGGCAACUAUAGACCUCGAGUUUGUGGAGGUGCCAAUAGGCGGCUUCAAUGUGCGGAUGCGUGGUAAAACUGUCCGUGGUAAAGCUGUUUACUCCUUUAUCACUGAGUGUUGUGAUGAUGACAGUUUUAUAGCUUCACCUGGGAAGCAUAAUAAGAAGUUUGUAGCGGCUGUGAGCAUAGGUGAUACACUAUGUGUAGACUUCAUGGAGAAAAGGCGAGAAGCGCUCUCUUUUGUAUCAUCCAAGCACGGCAACGAGCAGCAACCUUACCGGUUCAGCAAUGGAGCUUUGGUCUUUGUUAAAGUCUAUUGGUCAACCAUCGUCGAGGGUUGA